Molecule: ribosomal RNA, 440 nt
Filed under: uncultured bacterium
Lineage: Bacteria
Description: partial 16S ribosomal RNA
Rfam family: Bacterial small subunit ribosomal RNA
Source: RNAcentral
CCUACGGGAGACAGCAGUGGGGGAUAUUGCACAAUGGGGGUAACCCUGAUGCAGCGACGCCGCGUGGGUGAAGAAGCGCCUCGGCGCUUUAAGCCCUGUCAGCCGGGAAGAAACUGACGGUACCUGAAGACGAAGCCACGGCUAACUACGUGCCAGCAGCCGCGGUAAUACGUAGGGAGCAAGCGUUAUCCGGAUUUACUGGGUGUAAAGGGGGCGCAGACGGCGAUGCAAGCCAGGAGUGAAAGCCCGGGGCCCAACCCCGGGACUGCUCUUGGAACUGCGUGGCUGGAGUGCAGGAGGGGCAGGCGGAAUGCGUGGUGUAGCGGUGAAAUGCGUAGAUAUCAGGAGGAACACCGGUGGCGAAGGCGGCCUGCUGGACUGCAACUGACGUUGAGGCACGAAAGCGUGGGGAGCAAACAGGAUUAGAUACCCUAGUAGUC